Molecule: small nuclear RNA, 227 nt
Filed under: Lottia gigantea (owl limpet)
Lineage: Eukaryota; Metazoa; Mollusca; Gastropoda; Lottiidae
Description: U1 spliceosomal RNA
Rfam family: U1 spliceosomal RNA
About the family: U1 is a small nuclear RNA (snRNA) component of the spliceosome (involved in pre-mRNA splicing).
Source: RNAcentral
CGACUUUCCCGGUACAGGAGGAACCUUGAUCAGCAGAGAGGUUCUCCACGGAUGAGGCUUUUGAAUAGCAUCUAGCAUUGGCUCACCCCCUGCAAUGACUCCUGUGGGCAUUUUCGAUCAGCAACGUUUAUCACAUCUGACUUAACGUCGCACUCUUUUGCUAAAGGUAAGGGUGACUCGAGUACGUAUUUUUACAGUGUGGGAGACUGCGUUCGCGCAUUCACCUG